UACGUAGGCAGCGAGCGUUGUUCGGAGUUACUGGGCGUAAAGGGUGCGUAGGUGGGCAGGUAAGUCAGUGGUGAAAUCUCCGGGCUUAACCCGGAAACUGCCAUUGAUACUAUCUGUCUUGAAUACCGUGGAGGUGAGCGGAAUAUGUCAUGUAGCGGUGAAAUGCUUAGAUAUGACAUAGAACACCAAUUGCGAAGGCAGCUCACUACACGAAUAUUGACACUGAGGCACGAAAGCGUGGGGAUCAAACAGG
Molecule: ribosomal RNA, 253 nt
Filed under: uncultured bacterium
Lineage: Bacteria
Description: partial 16S ribosomal RNA
Rfam family: Bacterial small subunit ribosomal RNA
Source: RNAcentral